Molecule: ribosomal RNA, 164 nt
Filed under: Ampelocera macphersonii
Lineage: Eukaryota; Viridiplantae; Streptophyta; Magnoliopsida; Rosales; Ulmaceae
Description: 5.8S ribosomal RNA
Rfam family: 5.8S ribosomal RNA
About the family: 5.8S ribosomal RNA (5.8S rRNA) is a component of the large subunit of the eukaryotic ribosome. It is transcribed by RNA polymerase I as part of the 45S precursor that also contains 18S and 28S rRNA.
Source: RNAcentral
GGCAACGGAUAUCUCGGCUCUCGCAUCGAUGAAGAACGUAGCGAAAUGCGAUACUUGGUGUGAAUUGCAGAAUCCCGUGAACCAUCGAGUCUUUGAACGCAAGUUGCGCCCGAGGCCAUUCGGCCGAGGGCACGUCUGCCUGGGCGUCACACACCGUUGCCUCC